UUGUUCUCAGACCUUACCCAACCUCCUUGCCAGUGUCAGCCUCCUGGAAUCAGCUUACAAGUUGGACUCACCUGUGGAACUAACUGUUGGACUUUUUGGACCGCCUCUCCUGCUUCUUGAUUCUUGGAACUUCAGUUCUCUAUUUCCACGUGCCUCCUCCCAAGUUGUCUGCCUCCAGAGUUACUUUCUUGCUGAACCUAGCCUCCCCGGAUCUUGUUCCCUUUGUUGCACAUUCUAGUUUUUUGUUGUUCACCACAUUGUAAAAAAAAUCACUUGAAUUUUA
Long non-coding RNA from Austrofundulus limnaeus, 283 nucleotides. RefSeq lists it as uncharacterized. The transcript is spliced from 2 exons. The record is from RefSeq and is a predicted model, not a curated record. Lineage: Eukaryota; Metazoa; Chordata; Actinopteri; Cyprinodontiformes; Rivulidae.